Molecule: ribosomal RNA, 754 nt
Filed under: Wickerhamiella nectarea
Lineage: Eukaryota; Fungi; Ascomycota; Dipodascomycetes; Dipodascales; Trichomonascaceae
Description: LSU rRNA
Rfam family: Eukaryotic large subunit ribosomal RNA (bases 127-754)
Source: RNAcentral
AACGGAGAAGUAUACCUUGCGAGCGUCAUUUCUCUCUCCACACCUAGUGGGUAUUGGCACUGUACACAGUGCUCAAAACAAUCAUGCGUAUGUGUUAACCACAAUGUGCGCUUAAAACUUAACUAUUGACCUCGUAUAAGGUAAGAGUACCCACUGAACUUAAGCAUAUCAAUAAGUGGAGGAAAAGAAACCAACAGGGAUUGCCUUAGUAGCGGCGAGUGAAGCGGCAAAAGCUCAAAUUUGAAAUCUGCCUUACGGCCGAGUUGUAAUUUGUAGAUGGUAACUCUGCGACAAGUCUUUGCUCAAGUGUUCUGGAAAGGACCAUCAUGGAGGGUGAUAAUCCCGUGAGGCAUUGAUGCAGUUGCGUGUAGAGUGCUAUCGAAGAGUCGAGUUGUUUGGGAAUGCAGCUCAAAGUGGGUGGUAGACACCAUCUAAAGCUAAAUAUUGGCGAGAGACCGAUAGCGAACAAGUACUGUGAAGGAAAGAUGAAAAGCACUUUGAAAAGAGAGUGAAAAAGUACGUGAAAUUAUUGAUACAGAAGGAUAUACAAUUGGACACGGAGUCUUGGGUUCGCUGCUUCUUCGGGAGUAGUUUGUCCCUUGAUUCUUCACCAGCAUCAGUUUUGGCAGGAGGAUAAACAACAUGGAAUGUAGCUGCUUGCAGUGUUAUAGACUUGUUGCAUACUCUUUGCCGGGACUGAGGUCAGCCUUUGUAGGAUGCUGGGGUAACGAUUGUAUAUCACCCGUCUUGAAAC